Molecule: ribosomal RNA, 377 nt
Filed under: uncultured organism
Description: partial 16S ribosomal RNA
Rfam family: Bacterial small subunit ribosomal RNA
Source: RNAcentral
GUAGGUGGCAAGCGUUGUCCGGAAUUAUUGGGCGUAAAGCGCGCGCAGGUGGUUCGUUUAAGUCUGAUGUGAAAGACCCCCGGGCUCAACCCGGGGAGGGUCAUUGGAAACUCGGGGAACUUGAGUGCAGGAGAGGAAAGUGGAAUUCCACGUGUAGCGGUGAAAUGCGUAGAUAUGUGGAGGAACACCAGUGGCGAAGGCGACUUUCUGGCCUGUAACUGACACUGAGGCGCGAAAGCGUGGGGAGCAAACAGGAUUAGAUACCCUGGUAGUCCACGCCGUAAACGAUGAGUGCUAAGUGUUGGGGGGUUUCCGCCCCUCAGUGCUGCAGCUAACGCAUUAAGCACUCCGCCUGGGGAGUACGGUCGCAAAGACUG